RNAcentral lists this transfer RNA (76 nucleotides) under Bacilli bacterium. RNAcentral describes it as "tRNA-Arg". It matches the Rfam family "tRNA". From Rfam's summary of the family: Transfer RNA (tRNA) molecules are approximately 80 nucleotides in length. Their secondary structure includes four short double-helical elements and three loops (D, anti-codon, and T loops). Further hydrogen bonds mediate the characteristic L-shaped molecular structure. tRNAs have two regions of fundamental functional importance: the anti-codon, which is responsible for specific mRNA codon recognition, and the 3' end, to which the tRNAs corresponding amino acid is attached (by aminoacyl-tRNA synthetases). tRNAs cope with the degeneracy of the genetic code in two manners: having more than one tRNA (with a specific anti-codon) for a particular amino acid; and 'wobble' base-pairing, i.e. permitting non-standard base-pairing at the 3rd anti-codon position. Lineage: Bacteria; Bacillati; Bacillota; Bacilli. The record is from RNAcentral.
GUCCCAAUAGCUCAAUAGGAUAGAGCAGUAGCCUCCUAAGCUACAGAUCAAGGUUCGAUUCCCUGUUGGGACGCCA